UACGAAGGGGGCUAGCGUUGCUCGGAAUUACUGGGCGUAAAGGGCUUGUAGGUGGCCAACUAAGUCACACGUGAAAUCCCCAGGCUUAACCUGGGAACUGCGUGUGAUACUGGAUGGCUUGAAUCCGGGAGAGGGAUGCGGAAUUCCAGGUGUAGCGGUGAAAUGCGUAGAUAUCUGGAGGAACACCGGUGGCGAAGGCGGCAUCCUGGACCGGUAUUGACACUGAAAAGCGAAAGCCAGGGGAGCAAACGGG
Molecule: ribosomal RNA, 253 nt
Filed under: uncultured bacterium
Lineage: Bacteria
Description: partial 16S ribosomal RNA
Rfam family: Bacterial small subunit ribosomal RNA
Source: RNAcentral